This 363-nucleotide ribosomal RNA is filed under the name Triticum aestivum (bread wheat). RNAcentral's name for it is "partial small subunit ribosomal RNA". The record is from RNAcentral. Lineage: Eukaryota; Viridiplantae; Streptophyta; Magnoliopsida; Poales; Poaceae.
AUGGGCAGAAAGGUGUGCAUCUCCCCUGCAAUCAUCGCGCUUGUAGUGCUUGCUGGCCUGCGCGCGAAUGCUUCCGCCUUCGCCGGCGGUGCCGCUGCCAGCAUGGACGCGGCGCUGGCUGUGCGGCAGCUGACGCCAACGCUGUCGUCGAUGAAGCUGGAGGACGCCGUGUUGCCGGAGCUGGCGGUGGACCUAGAGGUGCACCGCCGCAUCCUCUUGGGCAUCCCCCAGCGAACCGAGAACCGCGAUGGGCCAGCCUGCCUGAAGAAUGGGUGUCCGGCGGACGGAGGAGCGUAUACCGACCGCGGAUGCCUCAAGAAGUACGGCUGCUCGUUAACGCCACCACAGUCCACAGUGAACUGA